GUUGUUAUUCCUCUAUCCGUCUCAUCUUCUUCUUAUUUCUCUCCCUCUCUCAGACGCCGAAACUAGGGCUAGAGAUUUGGGGUCUCUGGAUUUAAUGAUAUUGGGUUAAAGAUCAACUAAAGGUUGAAGUAUGGGGUUCUAGUAUCAAUCGUGGUUUAAAUUUGAAUCAUUGAAAGUCUAAAAUCUCCAUUAUAUAUAACCCUAAUUGUAAAAAGUCAUAGUUGCUAUGCAUAUGAAGUAUGAAUCAUUGGAAAAUAAAUAUGUGACAGAUAAGUUUGCUAAGAUUGACUGGUUCAUGGAAAAAUACAAGGAAGAAAGGAAGAAGAUGAGCAUUGAGUCAUCGAUUUAACUCGAAGACGGCUCAUAAUGGUAACUCGGCACGAUGAAUCAUCGGGGGUGACAUUUACUCACUUCGAUAACUGACACGUGUCCACUUAACUGCAACAACCCGUCUUUCUCAAAAAAUGAUAUGAAAAAGGUCAAUGUCGGCCAUUUUAUAUAACGGUUUGGGAAAACGGUCACUUACUUCAAUAUGUUUCAAAAAGUUUGUCAUUUUUCUUUCUUUUAUGUGAAGGUUAAAAUAAGGAACAGGAAGGUAACAUAAUAUACAGUUUCCUUAUGAUUAGGGCUUAGUUUUGUUGUUUUUUAUGAGAAUUUUGUUCCUUCCUAUAAGUUUUAGUUCAUUACGUAUGUAUACCUUACAACUUUUCAUCUUCACAGAUGCAUUAGUGGUCAUCGAAGAUAUUCCAUAAGUAUAUUUUAAUUUUGAUUAUUGGAAAAAUGUUAUG
Long non-coding RNA from Papaver somniferum (opium poppy), 788 nucleotides. RefSeq lists it as uncharacterized. The transcript is spliced from 2 exons. Lineage: Eukaryota; Viridiplantae; Streptophyta; Magnoliopsida; Ranunculales; Papaveraceae. The record is from RefSeq and is a predicted model, not a curated record.